Molecule: ribosomal RNA, 497 nt
Filed under: uncultured bacterium
Lineage: Bacteria
Description: partial 16S ribosomal RNA
Rfam family: Bacterial small subunit ribosomal RNA
Source: RNAcentral
GAUGAACGCUGGCGGCGUGCCUAAUACAUGCAAGUCGAGCGAACAGACGAGGAGCUUGCUCCUCUGACGUUAGCGGCGGACGGGUGAGUAACACGUGGAUAACCUACCUAUAAGACUGGGAUAACUUCGGGAAACCGGAGCUAAUACCGGAUAAUAUAUUGAACCGCAUGGUUCAAUAGUGAAAGACGGUUUUGCUGUCACUUAUAGAUGGAUCCGCGCCGCAUUAGCUAGUUGGUAAGGUAACGGCUUACCAAGGCGACGAUGCGUAGCCGGCCUGAGAGGGGGAACGGCCAAACCGGGACUGGAACACGGUCCAGACUCCUACGGGGGGCAGCAGUAGGGAAUCUUGCGCAAUGGGCGAAAGCCUGACGGAGCAACGCCGCGUGAGUGAUGAAGGUCUUCGGAUCGUAAAACUCUGUUAUUAGGGAAGAACAAAUGUGUAAGUAACUAUGCACGUCUUGACGGUACCUAAUCAGAAAGCCACGGCUAACUACGUG